UACGUAGGGUGCGAGCGUUAAUCGGAAUUACUGGGCGUAAAGCGUGCGCAGGUGGUUUCGCAAGUCGAGUGUGAAAGCCCCGGGCUUAACCUGGGAAUUGCGCUCGAAACUACGAGACUUGAGUGUGGCAGAGGGAGGUGGAAUUCCACGUGUAGCGGUGAAAUGCGUAGAGAUGUGGAGGAACACCGAUGGCGAAGGCAGCCUCCUGGGCCAACACUGACACUCAGGCACGAAAGCGUGGGGAGCAAACAGG
Molecule: ribosomal RNA, 253 nt
Filed under: uncultured bacterium
Lineage: Bacteria
Description: partial 16S ribosomal RNA
Rfam family: Bacterial small subunit ribosomal RNA
Source: RNAcentral